ACUGAUUUCUGUUCAGCUUGAAUUUUGAAACUUCAAAAGUCAGGAAUACGACAGUUGGUAUCCAUUCGUUUGAUGUGUUUGAGCUUUUGAUAAUGCCAUUUAAUUAGGGACUGUCCUUUUUGAAUUUUCCAGGAGUUCAGUAAUUUUGUGAUUUUACUUUUCCCUUGGUAUCUUCCGCCUCUGUUUUUUUUUUCACAAAAAAUAAACGUCUUUCUCAUAUUGAG
RNAcentral lists this long non-coding RNA (224 nucleotides) under Mytilus galloprovincialis (Mediterranean mussel). Lineage: Eukaryota; Metazoa; Mollusca; Bivalvia; Mytilida; Mytilidae. The record is from RNAcentral.